Molecule: ribosomal RNA, 672 nt
Filed under: uncultured Actinomycetes bacterium
Lineage: Bacteria; Bacillati; Actinomycetota; Actinomycetes
Description: SSU rRNA
Rfam family: Bacterial small subunit ribosomal RNA
Source: RNAcentral
CCGGCCUAACACAUGCAAGUCGAGCGAUAACCAUGGCUUCCGCCAUGGGGAGAGCGGCGAACGGGUGAGUAACACGUGAGCGAUCUGCCCUCGACACUGGGAUAGCCCGGGGAAACCCGGAUUAAUACCGGAUAGCCUCUCGGGUCUACGGGCCCGUGAGAAAAGAUGGCUUCGGCUUUCGGUUGAGGAGGAGCUUGCGGCGGAUUAGCUUGUUGGUGAGGUAACGGCUCACCAAGGCGACGAUCCGUAGCUGGUCUGAGAGGACGAUCAGCCACACUGGGACUGAGGCACGGCCCAGACUCCUACGGGAGGCAGCAGUGGGGAAUCUUGCGCAAUGGGCGAAAGCCUGACGCAGCGACGCCGCGUGAGGGAAGAAGGCCUUCGGGUUGUAAACCUCUUUCAGGAGGGACGAAGCUACUCGGGUUAAUAGCCCAGAGGGUGACGGUACCUCCAGAAGAAGCCCCGGCUAACUACGUGCCAGCAGCCGCGGUAAUACGUAGGGGGCAAGCGUUGUCCGGAAUCAUUGGGCGUAAAGAGCGUGUAGGCGGCCAGAAAAGUCCGCUGUGAAAACUCGAGGCUCAACUUCGAGCUGUCGGUGGAAACUUUCUGGCUAGAGUCCGGAAGAGGAGAAUGGAAUUCCUGGUGUAGCGGUGAAAUGCGCAGAUAUCAGGA